RNAcentral lists this ribosomal RNA (496 nucleotides) under uncultured bacterium. RNAcentral's name for it is "partial 16S ribosomal RNA". It matches the Rfam family "Bacterial small subunit ribosomal RNA", at positions 28 to 506 of the family's 1533-position model. The record is from RNAcentral.
GAUGAACGCUGGCGGCGUGCCUAAUACAUGCAAGUCGAGCGAACAGAUGAGGAGCUUGCUCCUCUGACGUUAGCGGCGGACGGGUGAGUAACACGUGGAUAACCUACCUAUAAGACUGGGAUAACUUCGGGAAACCGGAGCUAAUACCGGAUAAUUUAUUGAACCGCAUGGUUCAAUAGUGAAAGACGGUUUUGCUGUCACUUAUAGAUGGAUCCGCGCCGCAUUAGCUAGUUGGUAAGGUAACGGCUUACCAAGGCAACGAUGCGUAGCCGACCUGAGAGGGUGAUCGGCCAAACUGGAACUGAGACACGGUCCAGACUCCUACGGGAGGCAGCAGUAGGGAAUCUUCCGCAAUGGGCGAAAGCCUGACGGAGCAACGCCGCGUGAGUGAUGAAGGUCUUCGGAUCGUAAAACUCUGUUAUUAGGGAAGAACAAAUGUGUAAGUAACUAUGCACGUCUUGACGGUACCUAAGCAGAAAGCCACGGCUAACUACGU